RNAcentral lists this ribosomal RNA (319 nucleotides) under uncultured eukaryote. Its description in RNAcentral is "partial 18S ribosomal RNA". It matches the Rfam family "Eukaryotic small subunit ribosomal RNA", at positions 1470 to 1796 of the family's 1831-position model. The record is from RNAcentral.
CCCUUAGAUGUUCUGGGCUGCACGCGCGCUACAAUGGCGUUUCCAGCAAGUCUGCGAACCCGAGAGGGCCAGCGGAUCUUCGAAUUGGCGUCGUGAUCGGGACAGUCGAUUGCAAUUAUUUGACUCAAACGAGGAAUUCCUUGUAAUCGCGAUUCAUCAUAUCGCGCUGAAUACGUCCCUGCCCUUUGUACACACCGCCCGUCGCUCCUACCGAUUGAGCGAUCCGGUAAAUGUUUUGGAUUGGUGCCGGGGCGGCUAGCUGCCGGUCGCUACGAAAUUUUGUGAACCUUAUCGCUUAGAGGAAGGAAAAGUCGUAACA